Molecule: non-coding RNA, 87 nt
Organism: Picea glauca (white spruce)
Lineage: Eukaryota; Viridiplantae; Streptophyta; Pinopsida; Pinales; Pinaceae
Source: Rfam
GGAAAUAUGGCCAAGUGGUUCAAAGCGUAGCAUUGGAACUGCUAUGUAGGAUUUUUCUUACUAAGGGGUCGAAUCCCUAUCUUUCUG